Molecule: long non-coding RNA, 385 nt
Filed under: Nicotiana tabacum (common tobacco)
Lineage: Eukaryota; Viridiplantae; Streptophyta; Magnoliopsida; Solanales; Solanaceae
Description: long non-coding RNA (NTAB_LNC017857)
Source: RNAcentral
UAUUCCUCUCGUUAUACAGGUGGGCGCCUGGAACAUGAAAUGCCAAGACUGAAAUGUAUUCCUCUCGUUAAACAGGUGGGCGCCUGACAAGAAUUUUAAAGGCUGAAAAGUAUUCCUCUCGUUAUGCAGGUGGGCGCCUGACUUUAGGAAAACUAAACAUUGAUAAUCUUAAGACAACUAAAAGUGACUCUCUUUUUUCUUUUCUUUCUUCAAUCGUUGUUUUUUUUUUCAAAUUCAAACGUUUUUUUUGGUAUCUUAGGAGAAAGAUUCACCAGACUAAGAUCUGGAUCCUAGGAGAAGGUUCAUCAGACUAGGUCUUUUCUUUUUGGUAUCUUAGGAGAAAGAUUCGUCAGACUAAGAUUUUGAUCCUAGGAGAAGGUUCAUC